UUUUUAUGAGAGUUUGAUCCUGGCUCAGGACGAACGCUGGCGGCGUGCCUAAUACAUGCAAGUCGAACGCUUCUUUUUCCACCGGAGCUUGCUCCACCGGAAAAAGAAGAGUGGCGAACGGGUGAGUA
RNAcentral lists this ribosomal RNA (128 nucleotides) under Enterococcus faecium. RNAcentral's name for it is "partial 16S ribosomal RNA". It matches the Rfam family "Bacterial small subunit ribosomal RNA", at positions 1 to 112 of the family's 1533-position model. The record is from RNAcentral. Lineage: Bacteria; Bacillati; Bacillota; Bacilli; Lactobacillales; Enterococcaceae.